AUUUACUGUUGGAUUACCAACUGUGCAUCUCUUAGAGUGAUCCAAACUCCAUUCAUCCACUUGCACGGCUCUCAAAGUGAUGGAUUUGUGCAAUGGAAGGCGAAUCCUUCUUUUGCACAAAAGAUAACAUCUUUGACCAAGAAAAACUGAAUGUGGAGGAGAAAAUUUGUACGAAUGGUUAAUCAUGCAUGUCUUCAUCAACAGGUCAAUUAUCAUCAUAAUACUCGUCGCCCACGUGUGAAUGCAUGUAGAUAUGGAGAAAAUGACUCGGCUAUUAUCCUUUGCUUUUCUCUUCACAUACUCGAUUGGGUCCAAUAAUCAUCAUACUAACAACACUCUUAAUCAA
RNAcentral lists this long non-coding RNA (346 nucleotides) under Phoenix dactylifera (date palm). Its description in RNAcentral is "long non-coding RNA (PDAC_LNC005774)". Lineage: Eukaryota; Viridiplantae; Streptophyta; Magnoliopsida; Arecales; Arecaceae. The record is from RNAcentral.